RNAcentral lists this transfer RNA (80 nucleotides) under Nannizziopsis barbatae. RNAcentral describes it as "tRNA-Ser". Lineage: Eukaryota; Fungi; Ascomycota; Eurotiomycetes; Onygenales; Nannizziopsiaceae. The record is from RNAcentral.
GGAAAAGUAGCCAUUGGAAAGGUAAGAUAUUUGCUAAAUAUUGUGUAGUACACCUAGAUGUUCGAAUCAUCUCUUUUCCG